Molecule: ribosomal RNA, 482 nt
Filed under: uncultured bacterium
Lineage: Bacteria
Description: partial 16S ribosomal RNA
Rfam family: Bacterial small subunit ribosomal RNA
Source: RNAcentral
AUUGAACGCUGGCGGCAUGCUUUACACAUGCGAGUCGAACGGUAACAGGCCGCAAGGUGCUGACGAGUGGCGAACGGGUGAGUAAUGCAUCGGAACGUGCCCAGUCGUGGGGGAUAACUACUCGAAAGAGUAGCUAAUACCGCAUACGAUCUAUGGAUGAAGGCGGGGGACCGUAAGGCCUCGCGCGAUUGGAGCGGCCGAUGUCAGAUUAGGUAGUUGGUGGGGUAAAGGCUCACCAAGCCAACGAUCUGUAGCUGGUCUGAGAGGACAACCAGCCACACUGGGACUGAGACACGGCCCAGACUCCUACGGGAGGCAGCAGUGGGGAAUUUUGGACAAUGGGCGCAAGCCUGAUCCAGCAAUGCCGCGUGCAGGAAGAAGGCCUUCGGGUUGUAAACUGCUUUUGUACGGAACGAAACGGCUCUGGUUAAUACCCGGGGCUAAUGACGGUACCGUAAGAAUAAGCACCGGCUAACUACGUG